Molecule: long non-coding RNA, 419 nt
Organism: Erinaceus europaeus (western European hedgehog)
Lineage: Eukaryota; Metazoa; Chordata; Mammalia; Eulipotyphla; Erinaceidae
Exons: 2
Source: RefSeq, a predicted model, not a curated record
GCUGGUUCGUAAAUGGGAGCAGUGAGGCAGCAGCAGGUAAGAGAGAGGCUGCCUCCGCUCUGCGGCCACCCACAUCUGUGUUCCCUUUAGCACAGGAGGAAGCCAGCAAGAGCAAGGGGAAGAUGGAUAAUUCAUCACACAGGUCGUGACUCAAGGCUCCUCAUCAAGAUGGUGGCACCAGCACAAGAUAAUCCACAGCUCUCAGCAACCACCUGCCCCAGACCAGCUCCAUGGAGGAGGGCACUCGGCAGAGGACUCUACAGACCCCACAUCAGAACAGAAGCAGCUGCUCCCCUCCCCAUCAUAGACUCUGUGUACCCCCUAAGGAAGCAUGUGAACUGUGAACUGUUAGGGACCACCUGGUAUCUUCAGCCAGUGGCGUCUCCCGCUGGAAUAUAAACGUGUGCCUUUUCAGUGCA